GUGUGUUCCGCUUUUGUUUCGCCUGGUAAUUUUUACUGGAGCAUGUCGCCAGCAGAGGGGAUUGGUGCUGACGUGUAGUUUACCUUUUGUUUUUCUUUUAUUCUUUCUCUCUGUGUCUUCCCGUCUGUCCCUAAAAAGGGGAAAUAAAACCCGGGUCUGUUGGAAUUCACCUUGUCGCGUGAUUUAGGCUACUUUUACGCUUUUCCAUUUUGAGUUUACCAGUUUCUGUUUUAGUUGGCAGUGGCACGAAGUGUACGCCACUGCCGGCUUUAGGUACAGGCAACACGGACAGCAUCUUGCCUGGGGCGCCUCCACAAACGAAAAAAAGUUGUGAUAUUUUCGCGAUCGGUUUUCUAUGGUCCAUUCGCACAUCACGUCAAUGAUAUCAUGUGACAGUGUGGGUCAAUUAACGUGGGUGCCCUGAUUCUAGUUUGUCAACUAGACAAAUUACCACUAAAAAGUACGAGAUGGGGGGCGGGGCGGCUGACGUCAGGUCGCCCCGCUGGCAGCCCCAUUUCUAACUUUGUACAGUACAAAAGCAAUUAGUAAAAUAAUCUUUAAAUAUAUCAUGACAUAUUUGAAUCGUUCCAAAUUUCUUAAUAAAAGUGACAUCUUGUACUGAA
Brienomyrus brachyistius is the source of this 623-nucleotide long non-coding RNA. RefSeq lists it as uncharacterized. Lineage: Eukaryota; Metazoa; Chordata; Actinopteri; Osteoglossiformes; Mormyridae. The transcript has 2 exons. The record is from RefSeq and is a predicted model, not a curated record.